ACCUUACCUGGUCUUGACAUAUCUAGAAUCCUGCAGAGAUGCGGGAGUGCCUUCGGGAAUUAGAAUACAGGUGCUGCAUGGCUGUCGUCAGCUCGUGUCGUGAGAUGUUGGGUUAAGUCCCGCAACGAGCGCAACCCUUGUCCUUAGUUACCAGCGGGUUAAGCCGGGAACUCUAAGGAUACUGCCAGUGACAAACUGGAGGAAGGCGGGGACGACGUCAAGUCAUCAUGGCCCUUACGACCAGGGCUACACACGUGCUACAAUGGUAGGUACAGAGGGCAGCUACACAGCGAUGUGAUGCGAAUCUCAAAAAGCCUAUCGUAGUCCAGAU
Molecule: ribosomal RNA, 331 nt
Filed under: Psychrobacter sp.
Lineage: Bacteria; Pseudomonadati; Pseudomonadota; Gammaproteobacteria; Moraxellales; Moraxellaceae
Description: bacterial SSU rRNA
Rfam family: Bacterial small subunit ribosomal RNA
Source: RNAcentral